This is a long non-coding RNA of Cyprinus carpio carpio, 676 nucleotides long. The record is from Ensembl. NCBI's taxonomy places the organism in Eukaryota, Metazoa, Chordata, Actinopteri, Cypriniformes, Cyprinidae.
GCCAUAAAUAUAUAUAAAAAAAAACACUGGAUAACAUGGAUAUUAAUCUACAAUCCAUUGAAAACAAAUCUUAAAUGCAUAGCAUUGUCUGGCAGUGAUGAGGAAGUUCACAACCUGCACGUGAAGCUUGUGAAUGACGACUACAGUAGGCAGAACAAUGAAGCACUUGCACAGCAUGCAGUGGAGAAGAAAGAAGAAGCUCAGCGUGUGUCAGAAAGACAGACUUCGAGCAGACAGAACAGAGAAUGCUUAGAUCACUGGCUCUCUGAAGACACCGGUACGAGCCGAGCUGAAACAUGGUACCACAGGAGGAGACUUUUUGAUUAUCUUGAAAGCUCGACACAUUCAUGAAACUAUUCAGUAUCAAUUAAUUCAGUACUGCAGUUUGCCUGACCCCUUGGGGUUUGGAAUAAUGACAACAUGUCUGUCACACUACAAAAACACAUCUGAAGUCAUAUAAUGGAUUUGUGUGAUAAACAAAACAAUUGUCAUUUCAUUAUUGUAAUUCUUCUGAUUAUUUCAAUGUAUCAUUCAAAUUCAAUGGGUCCAAGUUAGACAUCAGAUGUCAUGACGAAACAUCAUUCUUGUCAAACCUGAUGUGACGCAUCUAAUGCUGACAUGUUUGAUUUCAAAGCUGCAGCUGAGGGAAAGAUUUAUGGUAUUUAGGGGUGCGCGA